This 267-nucleotide transfer RNA is filed under the name Carex atrofusca. RNAcentral describes it as "transfer RNA-Glu". The stretch from base 1 to 72 matches the Rfam family "tRNA". Lineage: Eukaryota; Viridiplantae; Streptophyta; Magnoliopsida; Poales; Cyperaceae. The record is from RNAcentral.
GCCCUCAUCGUCUAGUGGUUAGGACAUCUCUCUUUCAAGGAGGCAGCGGGGAUUCGAUUUCCCCUGGGGGUAAGAUAAAAAGUUGAUAUUAAUUUCUCAAUAAACCUAAGAUUCAUUCUCCCAGGUUUACUAAGAAACCUGGGAUUAAUUCUUCCUUAAACCUAUAAUUAAUCCUUCCACCCAGGGUCGAUGCCCGAGCGGUUAAUGGGGACGGACUGUAAAUUCGUUGACGAUAUGUCUACGCUGGUUCAAAUCCAGCUCGGCCCA